This 520-nucleotide ribosomal RNA is filed under the name uncultured Glomus. Its description in RNAcentral is "SSU rRNA". It matches the Rfam family "Eukaryotic small subunit ribosomal RNA", at positions 569 to 1091 of the family's 1831-position model. Lineage: Eukaryota; Fungi; Glomeromycota; Glomeromycetes; Glomerales; Glomeraceae. The record is from RNAcentral.
AGCAGCCGCGGUAAUUCCAGCUCCAAUAGCGUAUAUUAAAGUUGUUGCAGUUAAAAAGCUCGUAGUUGAAUUUCGAGACCGGCUUACUGGUCGUGCUAUUGUACGUACUGGUAGAAUCGGUUUCUCCUUUCUGACGAACUAUAAUGCCAUUAAUUUGGUGUUAUAGGGAAUCAGGACUGUUACUUUGAAAAAAUUAGAGUGUUUAAAGCAGGCUCACGCUUGAAUACAUUAGCAUGGAAUAACGGAAUAGGACGUUUGAUUCUAUUUUGUUGGUUUCUAGGAUCGACGUAAUGAUUAAUAGGGAUAGUUGGGGGCAUUAGUAUUCAAUUGUCAGAGGUGAAAUUCUUGGAUUUAUUGAAGACUAACUACUGCGAAAGCAUCUGCCAAGGAUGUUUUCAUUAAUCAAGAACGAAAGUUAGGGGAUCGAAGACGAUCAGAUACCGUCGUAGUCUUAACCAUAAACUAUGCCGACUAGGGAUCGGAUGAUGUUAAUUUUUUAAUGACUCAUUCGGCGCCUUAC